RNAcentral lists this ribosomal RNA (407 nucleotides) under uncultured bacterium. RNAcentral's name for it is "partial 16S ribosomal RNA". It matches the Rfam family "Bacterial small subunit ribosomal RNA", at positions 29 to 526 of the family's 1533-position model. The record is from RNAcentral.
AAUGAACGCUGGCGGCAGGCUUAACACAUGCAAGUCGAGCGGAGCGGAGGACGGGUGAGUAAUUCCUAGGAAUCUGCCUGGUAGUGGGGGAUCACGUCCGGAAACGGGGGAUAAUAUCGCAUAUUAUCAGAUGAACCUAGGUCGGAUUAGCUAGUAGGUGGGGUAAAGGCCUACCAAGGCGACGAUCCGGAACAGGUCUGAGAGGAGGAUCAGUCACACGGGAACUGAGACACGGUCCAAACUCCUACGGGAGGCAGCAGUGGGGAAUUUUGGACAAUGGGCGAAAGCCUGAGCGAGCAAUGCCGCGUGUGUGAAGAAGGUCUUCGGAUUGUAAAGCACUUUAAGUUGGGAGGCGUUACCAACAGAGUAAGCACCGGCUAACUUCGUGCCAGCAGCCGCGGUAAUAC